UGAGGAAUAUUGGUCAAUGGUCGAGAGACUGAACCAGCCAAGUCGCGUGAAGGAUGACUGCCCUAUGGGUUGUAAACUUCUUUUACAAGGGAAUAAAAUGAGAUACGUGUAUUUUAUUGCAUGUACCUUGUGAAUAAGCAUCGGCUAACUCCGUGCCAGCAGCCGCGGUAAUACGGAGGAUGCGAGCGUUAUCCGGAUUUAUUGGGUUUAAAGGGUGCGUAGGUGGGCUGUUAAGUCAGCGGUGAAAGUUUGUCGCUUAACGAUAAAAUUGCCGUUGAAACUGGUAGUCUUGAGUAUAGAUGAAGUAGGCGGAAUGCGUGGUGUAGCGGUGAAAUGCAUAGAGAUCCCGCAGAACUCCGAUUGCGAAGGCAGCUUACUAAGGUAUAACUGACACUGAAGCACGAAAGCGUGGGUAUCAAACAGG
RNAcentral lists this ribosomal RNA (424 nucleotides) under Fusobacteriota bacterium. Its description in RNAcentral is "Fusobacteria bacterium partial 16S ribosomal RNA". It matches the Rfam family "Bacterial small subunit ribosomal RNA", at positions 355 to 776 of the family's 1533-position model. The record is from RNAcentral. Lineage: Bacteria; Fusobacteriati; Fusobacteriota.